RNAcentral lists this ribosomal RNA (1027 nucleotides) under Bacteroides fragilis. RNAcentral describes it as "bacterial SSU rRNA". It matches the Rfam family "Bacterial small subunit ribosomal RNA", at positions 56 to 1077 of the family's 1533-position model. The record is from RNAcentral. Lineage: Bacteria; Pseudomonadati; Bacteroidota; Bacteroidia; Bacteroidales; Bacteroidaceae.
UGCAAGUCGAGGGGCAUCGGGAAGAAAGCUUGCUUUCUUUGCCGGCGACCGGCGCACGGGUGAGUAACACGUAUCCAACCUGCCCUUUACUCGGGGAUAGCCUUUCGAAAGAAAGAUUAAUACCCGAUGGCAUAAUGAUUCCGCAUGGUUUCAUUAUUAAAGGAUUCCGGUAAAGGAUGGGGAUGCGUUCCAUUAGGUUGUUGGUGAGGUAACGGCCCACCAAGCCUUCGAUGGAUAGGGGUUCUGAGAGGAAGGUCCCCCACAUUGGAACUGAGACACGGUCCAAACUCCUACGGGAGGCAGCAGUGAGGAAUAUUGGUCAAUGGGCGCUAGCCUGAACCAGCCAAGUAGCGUGAAGGAUGAAGGCUCUAUGGGUCGUAAACUUCUUUUAUAUAAGAAUAAAGUGCAGUAUGUAUACUGUUUUGUAUGUAUUAUAUGAAUAAGGAUCGGCUAACUCCGUGCCAGCAGCCGCGGUAAUACGGAGGAUCCGAGCGUUAUCCGGAUUUAUUGGGUUUAAAGGGAGCGUAGGUGGACUGGUAAGUCAGUUGUGAAAGUUUGCGGCUCAACCGUAAAAUUGCAGUUGAUACUGUCAGUCUUGAGUACAGUAGAGGUGGGCGGAAUUCGUGGUGUAGCGGUGAAAUGCUUAGAUAUCACGAAGAACUCCGAUUGCGAAGGCAGCUCACUGGACUGCAACUGACACUGAUGCUCGAAAGUGUGGGUAUCAAACAGGAUUAGAUACCCUGGUAGUCCACACAGUAAACGAUGAAUACUCGCUGUUUGCGAUAUACAGUAAGCGGCCAAGCGAAAGCAUUAAGUAUUCCACCUGGGGAGUACGCCGGCAACGGUGAAACUCAAAGGAAUUGACGGGGGCCCGCACAAGCGGAGGAACAUGUGGUUUAAUUCGAUGAUACGCGAGGAACCUUACCCGGGCUUAAAUUGCAGUGGAAUGAUGUGGAAACAUGUCAGUGAGCAAUCACCGCUGUGAAGGUGCUGCAUGGUUGUCGUCAGCUCGUGCCGUGAGGUGUCG